Molecule: long non-coding RNA, 2317 nt
Filed under: Prunus persica (peach)
Lineage: Eukaryota; Viridiplantae; Streptophyta; Magnoliopsida; Rosales; Rosaceae
Description: long non-coding RNA (PPER_LNC000679)
Source: RNAcentral
UAUGAUUCUUUAUUGCCUCUUGAUCAAAGUUCAAUGAGACAUGAGAUACUUUUUUGUGGUUGAGAGAAGAAAAUAGAGGAUUAUUUUGUUAUGCCAAACAAAAGCCAAAGAACAAAGUUUAUGGCUAAUUGGUAAAAUUCAACAAUAAAAAAAAGGUAAGUAGGCAAAGAGAAUGUAAGUGGGUUGAAGAUAUAUUAUUAAAUAACAAUAUGUAUUUUUUUUUAUUAGUUUAUUAUAUUAGAGUCAACCCAAAAUGGUUGGACUAAUAUUAAACAAAGGCAAGUUACAAUAUUUAGCCACAAAAAAAAAAAAAAAAAAAAGAAGGCAAGUGGGGUAAGUUAAAAUUUUUGGGGAGUAGAAUAGCUUAUAAAAUUUGGACCCCCUUUAGUUUUCUAUAGAUUUUGCAUUGGGCUACAACCCACUUAAGCUUGUGAAUAGUACCGUCCUUAGGCUGUAGUGAGCUUUUAAGUCCAACCGAAACCAAACUGCAAUUUAUGCAUGGCCCUAUAAUAUUUCUUACAUCAUGGCCUAGCCAUAUACAACCGUUUUUUCAACCCAAAAACCAAAAGUUUGGGUUUUAAUCCAACACAUUGAACCAUAAAAGAUGUGGGUGUAUGACCCAUUUCUCCGACCUAGGGGUGCAAUUUGGAUAUGAAAUUCCAAUUUCGAUAUAUUCUAAUAUAAAAUUUUCCAGCUUUGGCAUUCCCAAAUUAAAUAUGACAAUAAAAAAUUCAAAAAUUCAAAAAGAAAAAAAAAACAUUAAAAUUGGACUGUAUCUCAAAAUUUUGAAUUUCGAAAUACCCACAGUGACUAACUUCAUGUUGAGAUAAAUGUGAUUCAAUCAAUGAAAAGACAUCCUAUGAGUUUGAUUUCAUGCACAUAUUUCUAACACCUAAACCGAUCAUUUUGUCUCAACCCUAUAAAAGCAAUAGCUGCUUCCCCAAUCAACAUCCACCCAAAACCUUGGAAGGAAGGAAAUGCGACAAUUGCUAUGACGGUACCAAUCCUAACUCUAAGGAUAAGCCCCAAACUCACUUUGAAAGCUUCCUUGUUCCAUGAGGCAUCAUCAUUCAAUUUCAAAAAAGAGUGGCGAGGAGGCUCAGAUAUUUCUCAUAACUUUCACUUAAAAGGUGGGCAUAUAGGGGAUUUCCCAAUUUUUUUUUUUUUUUUAAAGGGAUUCACUCCACUUGGAAGGUAUGUGUUUUUGGAAAAUUAUUCCCCCUCGUCAGAACAAAAAAGAUGGAAAGAUGAAAAAAUAUGUACCAAGAUGAUAAUGAGUGAAACAAGAGAGCACACCAAGAAUUUAACGGGGUUCAGCAAAAAAACAAGCUUACGUCCACGAAGAAAAUAAACAAGCUUAUGGGAGAAAUACAAGUACAAGAAAAUAAACCGCUCAAGAGUUUUGUACCUAAUUCCAAGCACAUAUCACUCCCACCCAAGAGAAAUCCCCUGUCUUAAUUCUCCAAGAAGUAUACACUCUUGAUGCAUACAUAACUCCCUAGUGAAUGAAUAUUCACACUCAAACUCAAACUCAAACUUGAGUUGAUGCCUUAAUGCCUUACUUGAUUCCCAAAUAAGAAUAGACCUCCCUUUAUAUAGCCAUAAAAGAAGGCUCUAAAUGCGUUGUACCAUUUAAUGAACCAUGUGACCAUAUGCAUUAAAAACUUGUUGAGAAGCCCAAAGGCGCUAAGCAGGGAUAUUGCACCCAACAGUCUCCCCCUUUUGACUUAGGUGGAGGGUAUCACACCACCACUUCAAUACCUAAAAUCCAUCUCAAUCCGAUAUACUAUUUGUAAAUUUCACAAACAAACAUUGGCCUUGACCUUGUACCAUCUACACAUAAUUAGAAUCAGAAUGAGGUCCUAGCUCCCACUGAUUCAUAACAACUAAUGCUUAUGUGCAGUUGUGCAGAGCAACACUUAUUGAUUAGCUUUGAAGACGAAUCUUGACUCGACCCCUUCCCUAGCUGAAUUUUCCUUCUUGCCAUCAUCUGAACCUAAGAAACAUAUAACAUGUGUCUCUGCUAUCCCCGCAAAUGAGACUCGCCUUAAGUAUUUAAUUUCAUGUGCACGCCAUUUCCCAUAAGCCAUUGAGGUUUAAGUACUUCCUAUCAGACAAUAUAAACCACAACACUCUUCUCCAUUCAUCAUGACAAUACAACCAUGUGUGACUUUCAGAACUCCCCCACUACAAAACACUUGCAGCCAUUGGAUUCUAAUUGGCUCAAGGAUAUCAGAUUCCUUCGCAACUUUGGAAAAAAGUCCAUAACAAAGUGCACACCGCUCCAUCAAACAUCUUGAUUUUCACUAUUCCAAAC